This 253-nucleotide ribosomal RNA is filed under the name uncultured bacterium. Its description in RNAcentral is "partial 16S ribosomal RNA". It matches the Rfam family "Bacterial small subunit ribosomal RNA", at positions 524 to 776 of the family's 1533-position model. The record is from RNAcentral.
GACAGAGGGUGCAAACGUUGUUCGGAAUUACUGGGCGUAAAGCGUGUGUAGGCGGCCAUGUAAGUUGGAUGUGAAAGCCCGGGGCUCAACCUCGGAAGUGCAUUCAAUACUGCGUGGCUUGAGUAUCGGAGAGGUUGGUGGAAUUCUCGGUGUAGAGGUGAAAUUCGUAGAUAUCGAGAGGAACACCGGUGGCGAAGGCGGCCAACUGGACGAAUACUGACGCUGAGACACGAAAUCGUGGGGAGCAAACAGG